Molecule: long non-coding RNA, 316 nt
Organism: Gossypium arboreum
Lineage: Eukaryota; Viridiplantae; Streptophyta; Magnoliopsida; Malvales; Malvaceae
Exons: 2
Source: RefSeq, a predicted model, not a curated record
UGAAGUUUUAUAAAAAGGAAAAGGGGUGAAAAGAACAAAGUUUUGUCCAUCUUUGUUCAUCAUAGCUGAAAGUUAGAGAAGAGAAAGGAGAGGAGAAAGCUCUUGAGUAUUCGGUCAUUAGGAGGAGGAAAAUUGAAGGAAAUCCCCAACCGUAGUGAGCUUGGAGCUGUGAGGGAAUUCGGAGUGGCCACCCGUUCUGAAAGUUUGAUUUUCUUCUGGUGAACUGGACAUCCUUUUAAUUACGUUUGAGGUUUUGGGCUUUUAAAUGUAAUAAGGCCGCUUAUUUAUUUUUGAUGUUUUUAAUAUGUAUUACUAA